RNAcentral lists this ribosomal RNA (468 nucleotides) under uncultured bacterium. RNAcentral's name for it is "partial 16S ribosomal RNA". It matches the Rfam family "Bacterial small subunit ribosomal RNA", at positions 28 to 507 of the family's 1533-position model. The record is from RNAcentral.
GACGAACGCUGGCGGCGUGCUUAACACAUGCAAGUCGAACGGAAAGGCCCUGCUUUUGUGGGGUGCUCGAGUGGCGAAAGGGUGAGUAACACGUGAGUAACCUGCCCUUGACUUUGGGAUAACUUCAGGAAACUGGGGCUAAUACCGGAUAGGAGCUCCUGCUGCAUGGUGGGGGUUGGUAAGUUUCGGCGGUUGGGGAUGGACUCGCGGCUUAUCAGCUUGUUGGGGGGGUAGUGGCUUACCAAGGCUUUGACGGGUAGCCGGCCUGAGGGGGUGACCGGCCACAUUGGGACUGAGAUACGGCCCAGACUCCUACGGGAGGCAGCAGUGGGGAAUAUUGCACAAUGGGCGGAAGCCUGAUGCAGCAACGCCGCGGGCGGGAUGACGGCCUUCGGUUUGUAAACCGCUUUCGCCUGUGACGAAGCGUGAGUGACGGUAAUGGGUAAAGAAGCACCGGCUAACUACGUG